Molecule: ribosomal RNA, 464 nt
Filed under: uncultured bacterium
Lineage: Bacteria
Description: partial 16S ribosomal RNA
Rfam family: Bacterial small subunit ribosomal RNA
Source: RNAcentral
CCUACGGGAGGCAGCAGUAGGGAAUCUUCGUCAAUGGGCGCAAGCCUGAACGAGCAAUGCCGCGUGAACGAGGAAGGUCUUCGGAUCGUAAAGUUCUGUUGAAGGGGAAAAAGAGCGGAGAGAGGAAAUGGUCUCCGAUUGAUAUUACCCUUCGAGGAAGUCACGGCUAACUACGUGCCAGCAGCCGCGGUAAUACGUAGGUGGCGAGCGUUAUCCGGAAUGAUUGGGCGAAAAGGGUGCGUAGGCGGCCUGCUAAGUCUGGAGUGAAAGGUACCGGCUCAACCGGUACAGGCUCUGGAAACUGGCGGGCUAGAGAGCAGGAGAGGGCGGUGGAACUCCAUGUGUAGCGGUAAAAUGCGUAGAUAUAUGGAAGAACACCAGUGGCGAAGGCGGCCGCCUGGCCUGUUACUGACGCUGAGGCACGAAAGCGUGGGGAGCAAAUAGGAUUAGAUACCCGAGUAGUC